AUGCAUCCUCCUCCUCCGCCGCGUCAUGGGCGCUCACCACGGAAGCACAAGUCUGCCCUACAUGAUGCCUGGCAGGCUAACCUAGCAGGAUGCAUGUGCAACAGACUGAAACAAGCAGCCUACACUGUCCUCAAAUCCCCUGUUUCUUCUUUCACAGCUCUGCUCUCCAACAGCUUGCACGGCUCCAUCACCGCCGAGAUCAUCAACUGCAACAAGCCGACAGCAAUUUAUGCGUGCCACCAGUAUGCCAUCUACUUCUUUUUAUGCUACUUCAUUGGGCUUUUAUCUGAGCCAACUCUACCUGCUGAGAUUAUUAUUGGUGUGGGCAACCACCAGUACGUGUAUGAGCAGCUUAAGCCUGCCCCCAGCGCCGGAGACGCUGCCGGCGCACCGACGGCGGAGCCCAGCCGGCACGGCUUCUGGGCAUGGAAGGAGAGGUUCGUCAUCACCUACAACCCUCCCGACUUCGGAGACGACGAGGUCGCGGCCGUGGACGCCGACGAGUGCAGCAGGUGCGGCUUUCUCUGUGUGGGGUCUCUGGCCGGGUUCCUCGUCUUUCUCGGCUCCCUGCUUCUCCUGCUCUUCUUCCAUCAGCCGUCCCAAUCCGCCAUUGGAUCGGUGGUCUACGUGGCCACGCGCGUCCUCGCCAUGGCGGGCAUGCUUGUCGGGUUUUGCUCGGCCGGCCUCUUUCUUGACCUUUGCGACAGGAUGGAUAAGGGUGAUAAACAUGCAGAGCGCCGCCCGCCCCAGCCCAUACUGGCGGCCGCCGCUCCGGCUCCGUCGGCCACCCAAGCUCUGCGCUUCCCCGCCACCCCUGCCGCUGCCCUGCAGUGGGGCUUCCCUGCUGCUGCCACCGUCGUUGCUCCGUCCCCAGAUCUAGAUCGGGAGCUGCAGACCCCACCCCCUCCGCCGCCGGGGCGGCCGGUCAGGCCUGCUGACGACGUGGAUUUCGUCCCCGAGACGCCGCCCGAGCUCCUGCGCGCCGCGGCUUCCGCUUCUGGCGGCGCGGUCCCAUUCAAUGCGGGCGAUGGCGUGCCGUGCGGGGGCGGCAUUAACUCUGGCCUGCCCGCGGGCGGGUGGUUGGCCUGCUUCAAGAGGGUGGAGGGCGAGGCGCAUUCAACGCGCGCGCCUGCUCCGCAGUCCGACGAGGGGCUCGAGGGAGGAUGGGUCACCGUCGGGUCAAAUCGGCCGCGCCGAGCUCGCCAACCAUGGUGUUACCGCCCUCGCCCUGCUCCAAGCGUGGCGAACUCGAGGGCGCUGCUCUCGCUUCCAGAAUCGCUGUUCACGACGCCCAGGCGUACGCCCCCCCUGAUGCCCGGGGCUGCUAUGGUGGAGAGCUCAAUUCCAACGGGAUUGGAGGCUCUGUUUCAGCCAAGGCAGCAGCCUCUGCUUCCCUCGCCGGCUUCCUCCCCAGUCAAGGCCCCAACGCGCAGGCGCAAGACCCUGGCUGGCAUGCACAUCACCACCAAUGGUGGGUUCUCGCUGAGGCGCAACAGUGCGCGGAUCAUGGCUCGCGGCGCUGGCUUUGCCACUGCCAUGGCCAAGGAAGCGCAGGGGCUGCUCUGCCGCUCGAUUGGCAUUGUACAAGACGGGGAAGAUAUCACAGACAAGACGCUGAAGGCAUUCGAAGACCAGUUCAAGGAGCAACUCCCAGAGGCGGUCAUGGCAGCCUUGCGAGGCUUGUUCAAAGUUGAUGAUGUUGUUGCUGGAGAGGUGGAGGAGGCCCUAAUCAACCACGGGGGUGAGGCUGCGAUUGACCAUGAGGCCACGGCAACGGCGCCGUCUGCCUAG
Molecule: ribosomal RNA, 1791 nt
Filed under: Triticum aestivum (bread wheat)
Lineage: Eukaryota; Viridiplantae; Streptophyta; Magnoliopsida; Poales; Poaceae
Description: partial small subunit ribosomal RNA
Source: RNAcentral